AAAUGGUUUAGGAAGUGGAGAGGAUAGCAAAUGAGGAUGAAUAGAGUUUUUGGAAAAUCUGCUACCAACAGGUGAUGAAGAACCAGAUGUAUCAACCACCAGUGAUCAAGAAAAAGAAUAUGGUAGGAGAGAAACACGCAGACACUCGCUUACUAUCACACCUGAAGGUUAAGGAUUAAAGAAGGGUAUGGAGAUGGUAGUUUGAAGGAAUAACAGCACUCCAUUUCACCUCUGCGAUUAAUUUAUCAAUGGGCACUGACAGGAACGCAGAGAAAGAAAAAGAUCAUACUGUCACAUGGUUUAUGGAAGUAUGUAGUUGAAGUUGAUAUUUG
RNAcentral lists this unclassified non-coding RNA (332 nucleotides) under Hevea brasiliensis (rubber tree). Lineage: Eukaryota; Viridiplantae; Streptophyta; Magnoliopsida; Malpighiales; Euphorbiaceae. The record is from RNAcentral.